GCCGGGCGUUGGUGGCGCACGCCUUUAAUCCCAGCACUUGGGAGGCAGAGGCAGGCGGAUCUCUGUGAGUUCGAGGCCAGGCUGGACCGACAGCCUCCAAAACAGAGAAACCCUGUCUCGUAAAACAAAAAACAAAACAAAACAAACAAACAAAAAAAGAAACACUAAAGACUAACAACCCUUUUUUUUUUUUUUUUUUUUUUUGUUUUUUACGGAAAAGGGUUUCUCUGUAUUGUUUUGGAGGCUAUCGGUCCAGCCUGGCCUCGAACUCACAGAGAUCCGCCUGCCUCUG
RNAcentral lists this signal recognition particle RNA (292 nucleotides) under Mesocricetus auratus (golden hamster). RNAcentral describes it as "Metazoan signal recognition particle RNA". It matches the Rfam family "Metazoan signal recognition particle RNA". From Rfam's summary of the family: The signal recognition particle (SRP) is a universally conserved ribonucleoprotein. Lineage: Eukaryota; Metazoa; Chordata; Mammalia; Rodentia; Cricetidae. The record is from Rfam by way of RNAcentral.